Molecule: long non-coding RNA, 436 nt
Filed under: Mustela putorius furo (domestic ferret)
Lineage: Eukaryota; Metazoa; Chordata; Mammalia; Carnivora; Mustelidae
Description: lncRNA (ENSMPUG00000025560.1)
Source: RNAcentral
CUCGAGGCCUGCCCGGGUGGCCUAGCGCAGGAGUGCAGUAGGGAGCGCCUGGAUUCAUCCAAAGAUGCUCAUUCUCCUCUCCAGGACGAUGAAAACGGUCUUUUUUUUUUUUUUUUUUUUUUCCUGUGGAAGGAAAGAGAGAGUGUGUGAGAAGGAGAGGAGGAGCAGAGAAAGAGGGAGAGGGACAAGCAGACUGUGCACUGAUUAUGGAGCCCAACAUGCACAGCUUGAUCCCAAGAAUCGAGAUCAUGGCAUGAGCCAAAACCAAGAGUCAACUGAGUCUCAAAUGACUGAGCUCAACUCAUUGAACCCCUCUGGAAAUUUUAGGAUUGCCAGAUUAAGCCAGAAGACUGCAGAAAUACAAGGCUGACCAAAUUUCUUUCCCCUCUCACUCAUUUCUAGGCUAAUGAAAUAAGUAUAUGACUAUGGAAUAAAA